GACGAACGCUGGCGGCGUGCUUAACACAUGCAAGUCGAACGGAAAGGCCCUGCUUUUGUGGGGUGCUCGAGUGGCGAACGGGUGAGUAACACGUGAGUAACCUGCCCUUGACUUUGGGAUAACUUCAGGAAACUGGGGCUAAUACCGGAUAGGAGCUCCUGCUGCAUGGUGGGGGUUGGAAAGUUUCGGCGGUUGGGGAUGGACUCGCGGCUUAUCAGCUUGUUGGUGGGGUAGUGGCUUACCAAGGCUUUGACGGGUAGCCGGCCUGAGAGGGUGACCGGCGACAUUGGGACUGCGAUAGGGCCCAGACUCCUACGGGAGGCAGCAGUGGGGAAUAUUGCGCAAUGGGCGGACGCCUGAUGCAGCAGCGCCGCGUGCGGGAUGACGGCCUUCGGGUUGUAAACCGCUUUCGCCUGUGACGAAGCGUGAGUGACGGUAAUGGGUAAAGAAGCACCGGCUAACUACGUG
This 468-nucleotide ribosomal RNA is filed under the name uncultured bacterium. RNAcentral's name for it is "partial 16S ribosomal RNA". It matches the Rfam family "Bacterial small subunit ribosomal RNA", at positions 28 to 507 of the family's 1533-position model. The record is from RNAcentral.